Molecule: ribosomal RNA, 1420 nt
Filed under: Amblyospora timirasia
Lineage: Eukaryota; Fungi; Microsporidia; Amblyosporidae
Description: SSU rRNA
Rfam family: Microsporidia small subunit ribosomal RNA
Source: RNAcentral
UGACGUGGACGCUUGCCUUGAAGAUUAAGCCAUGCAAGUCUGUGAAUGAUCUUUGAAACAGUGUACGGCUCAGUAUAACACUUCUAUCUACCCAUAGUAUUUUAAUAACCAUGGUAAACUAUGGCUAAUUAUAUGGAUGAGGAAGUGACCUAUCAGCUUGACGGUACGGUAAGUGCGUACCGAGGCUAUAACGGGUAACGGGGAAUAUGGGUUUUAUUCCGGAGAGGGAGCCUGAGAGAUGGCUGCCACGUCCAAGGACGGCAGCAGGCGCGAAACUUACCCAAUGAACAUUGAGGUAGUUACGAGGCGUAAUUUAUGUAGUAUGUAUAAAUGACAUACUGAAGUACUGGAGGGCAAGUCUGGUGCCAGCAGCCGCGGUAAUACCAGCUCCAGUAGCGUCUGUGUUUAUUGCUGCGGUUAAAACGUGCGUAGUCUGCUAGUGUGUUAAUUGAAUUUGAUAGGUAAUGUAAUAGUAUGUGAAUUUAUUUGUAUAUUAUUAUAUUAUUAACUCAAAUUCAUCCUUGUAUAACAUACAGCCUGGAGUAAAUAUAUAUCUUCAAGAUGUAUUUCUUUCCAGGAACAGAUAGCUUGAGACAGGGAAUGGGUAAUGUUAUUUGGUAGCGAGAGGUGAAAAUUGAUGACCUACCAAGGAGCAACAGAAGCGAAAGCGAUUACCAAGAACUGAUCUGACGAUCAAGCACGUGAGCAGGAGUAUCGAAGAGGAUUAGAGACCCACGUAGUUCCUUGCAGUCAACGAUGCCAACAUAGUGGUGAUAGUAAUCAUUGCUUAAGCGAAAGCUAGUUUAUGGGCUCCGGGGAUAGUACGGACGCAAGUUUGAAACUUGAAGAAAUUGACGGAAGGACACCACAAGGAGUGGAGUGUGCGGGUUAAUUUGACUCAACGCGGGAAAACUUACCCGGGCAGGCGAUUAUCUUGAGAAGGUAAUAAACCUGAUGAUAUCGCGCGUGGUGCAUGGCCGUUCUUAACACGUGGAGUGAUCUGUCUGGUCAAAUCUGAUAACGCGUGAGAGGUGAGUGGGCUUUAUUUAUAGCCUAGACGAUGUCUGUAAAGACAAGGAAGAGACACCCAAUAACAGGUCUGUGAUGCCCGUAGAUGUUCGGGGCUCCACGCGCACUACAAUGGAGAGUAGUAGUAUUAGGAAUGUUGUAUUUCUUCGUAGUUGGGAUUGACAUAUGUAAUUAUGUCAUGAACGUGGAAUUCCUAGUAGUUGGUAGUCACUAACGACUAACGAAUGAGUCCCUGUUCUUUGUACACACCGCCCGUCGUUAUCUAAGAUGGAAGUGCGGGUGAAGAUGUGAGUGUGUCAACGUGAGCGUAAACUUACAACACUUAGUGUUGUGAGUAGCGAAUGUUAUUACGAUGCAUAAGCAUAAGAACCCGUGCAGCUAGAUUGGAUGU